Molecule: long non-coding RNA, 3137 nt
Filed under: Sus scrofa (pig)
Lineage: Eukaryota; Metazoa; Chordata; Mammalia; Artiodactyla; Suidae
Description: lncRNA (ENSSSCG00000057588.1)
Source: RNAcentral
UCCCCCUCCCCAAGUAUGAAAUUGAUGACAGUAGUAUUGAUUUGGUUAGACUGGGGCUAAGUGGUAGGGAAGGGAGGACAAAAUCAUGACUCCUUAAAUGGUACCUCAGAGAUGGAAGUAUUUGUCCAUCUAUUUAGAAGACAUUUGCUAAUAUUCCCAAAUAUUCAGGUUGUGGCUGGCCUGAGUCUGCCUCCCACCCAAAAUGGGUCAGGUGGGGCCUCUGCCUUCUGCUAUCCUAUGAGGUCUUCUGUUAUACUUUCACCUAACUAAUGCUUUGCCACGCAUUCAUUCAUUUAAUCAUCGAAUCAUUCCAGAGCAAGAGGUUAGAAAAAGCUCUUAAAGAGCACCCAAGGUUCCCAUGAAUAGUACACAGCAAAUAGAAAGAGCUUAGUGUUUGAAGUUAGAAUGAUCUGAUGCUACUCCUUAUUGUCUGGCUGAUCCAGAGGUAACUGCUUCAUGGCUUCAGGCCUCAGUUUCCUCAACUGUAAAAUGGGGCUAGUAAUACCCACCUUCCAGAGUCACACAUUACUACGUAAGACAGUGUAACCCCUGUGCUACCUCGCCUCGUCUCAGGAAACAGUCUCAGAAAGCAUCCCAAAUAAGUAUAUUUGGUAUGUAAAUGUCUAUGUCACCACUUAAACUAUAAACGCCUUGAGGGCAGGCAUUUGGUUUGUUCAUUGUUCGUUUGAUUUGUUCAUUCCUAGAACGUAGCGUGGGCUUGGCACACAAUACGCUCCACGUACAUUGAAGGAAUGAAUGAAGGGCUUAGAAUGGCCUGGGCAACACUCUAAGCAUUUUGCCUGUUAUCAGCUUGGGUACCCUGUAUCAUCAUCACUGUCGUUUACAGAGGAAGAAACCCAAGCUCACGGAGGUUGAAUAAGUUGUCCAAGUUCAUGUAGGUAGGAGCAGGGUGACCUUAACCUAAGAACCAGAUCCAUCUGCUUCUGAAGCUUUUCCUUAACCAUCCCGCAUACCUGCUUCUUGCUGGAGAAUCAGAGAGGCCCACGGUGCAGGUCAGGCAUUGCUCAGACAGUACUUCUCCAGUACUCAGAGAAGGAUAGAGGUGGCCCAUCAGGUGGGCAAGAGGAAGGACAAGCUGGAAAAGAAGCUGGGGUCUUCAGAGACUAUCCCAGAGUCUGAGGACUCUGAGGAGAAGCGAGCCUGGAGGAGUUGGUAUCAGAUCAUGGACUGCUUCCUCCACCAAGCUUAGGGUGUGAAAUUUGUCUAUGGGCACCUAAGAGCCCUAGAAGGGUCUUCCUCGGAACAAGGGCACCACCAGACCUGGGAGGAGCACCCUGGCAGCAGCGUGGAGGAUGCUGGAAAUGGAGCAGGUGUGCACAGGGAGGGGAUGGGCUAAGGGGAAGCCUCCAGGUCAAGAUUGUCCUCUGCCCCCAACUGGCUGUGUGAGUUCGAAGAAGUGACUUCCUCUCUCUGGUUCCAUCUUCUCAUUGGUAUAAUGGGGAUAAUGUAGUACCUACUUCCUGGGGCUGCUGUGAAGAGUGAAUGGGGUGAGGCAUAAAAGUAUCGGCUGGUCCCAGAGCCGUUUGCGUUCUAUAAAUAGAGCUGGAAAGAGGGGAGUCAUAGCAAAAGCAUUUCAGAAGUGCAGGUACAAAGUGUGGCCACUGUGCCAAGGUAAGGGAUAAGAGAAAAAGAAACAGUCACAGUGCCCUGGCUGUCUGCAUUUGGUGAUGCCCUUUGGAAGGAUGUGGAAUGAGACAUCCCCCAAAUCCAGAAAGUUCCUCCUUGCUGGGCUCCCCCGUGGUCAGGUGCUGGGUAUUUUGAAACAAUGCUGAAUUCUCACUCCAGACCAGGAAUUGUGCUUUUAUACUUUGGAUUUCCAAAAUGACAUUGAGAGAAAACCCUCGUUAUUUCUCUACUCCUAUUUGUGAUGAUUAUUAAUCAUAGCUAAUAUUUGUAUAGUAUAUUCCAGCUUACAGAACAUUUUCAUCUCUAUGGUGGUAUCAGGGAUAAAGGAAAAUUCAUCAAACACAACUGGCUUAUUGAACAGUCUGAACUCAGCAGGGUGAAAAUACAAACAUUUUUUUUUUCCCCUCUAAUCCUUCCCUUCCACCCCCGUGUUGUCAAAUUUCCCUUUCUGAGCCCUUAAUGACAGUUUUGGCAGAUUCUAUAUUUUUCUGGUUGCUUUAAGGUCUGAAAAGGUCCCACCUAAUUUGAAACUUCAAUCUCAUAUCCUAUUUAGUGUUCUUCCCAUCUUAUCUCUGCACAAGGGCUAGUCAGGUUCCUGCCGAAGUCACUCAUCGGAGAGGUAGGGGCACUUUGCGGUAGGGAAUGGAAGGUGGGAAAAGCAAGUUUCUCUUACUUACUGUGAUCCUCUCUCAGGCUAAGCAGAAGGUCUGCCAGGUGGUGGGGAUCCAAACGCUGACGCUACUUGGGCACAUGUGAGGGUUCUUUAGGAGACCUGGCAAGGACAGAUCUUUCUGGUGUUGGGUUCUCUGACAAGUGAAGGAUUUGGCCAACUUCUUCCAAACUAGGCCCCCCAUCUCCCCUCUCAUUCGGCCCACCCCAAGCCUCUCACAGCCAGCGUCCUUCUGGGGGAUUCUCUUGCCCUGCUUGUGGGUUAGACAAACGACUGGCAGUGGAAGGAUUUUCCUCAUUACCCUUGUCUUCUGCUUAAGAAGCUUUCAGAGGUGGGGGAGGAGGUGAGGCCAGGAUGUGUGGUCUCUGCUCAUUUUUCCACUGAAGGUGGUCCCAUCAUCUCAUUUUUUUGCAGCUUUCCAUUCUGGUAGCAGACCCUCCUACUCCUCAUCCAGUUACCCAAGUUGAGUGUCGUCCCCCCCACUCCCCGCCAAGCCUAAGGUGAAAGGAUUCUACUUUGCAUUAUCAGCCCCAGGGCCUUCCUCUUUUGAGUAAAGGCAGGAACAGGAGGAAAGGGAGGCUAAAGAGCUUAUACAGGCUGCUUGGAUUAGAGAGCUUGGGCACUGGGGUGUGGGGCGGGGGGCGCCUGCAGAAGGAGGAAGGGGAAACUGUAUGUGUAAAAAGUUGAGAAAUAGAGUGGUAGAGAAAGCAAUGCUUUAAUAAAUGUGCGCUAUGAACAUAUUCUAUACUUACUAGGACAUUUUGGUCUAUAAAAUGAGACAGGGGAGCAAGGCAUUGCUAGGAUUUGUUGGAUCACAGUC